CCUACGGGGGGCUGCAGUGAGGAAUAUUGGUCAAUGGGCGAGAGCCUGAACCAGCCAAGUCGCGUGAAGGAAGACGGAUCUAUGGUUUGUAAACUUCUUUUAUAGGGGAAUAAAGUUCGGCACGUGUGUCGAUUUGCAUGUACCCUAUUGAAUAAGCAUCGGCUAACUCCGUGCCAGCAGCCGCGGUAAUACGGAGGAUGCGAGCGUUAUCCGGAUUUAUUGGGUUUAAAGGGUGCGUAGGUUGUGGAUUAAGUCAGCGGUGAAAGUUUGUCGCUUAACGAUAAAAUUGCCGUUGAAACUGGUUUACUUGAGUGUAAUAGAAGUAGGCGGAAUGCGUGGUGUAGCGGUGAAAUGCAUAGAUAUCACGCAGAACUCCGAUAGCGAAGGCAGCUUACUAAGUUAUAACAGACACUGAAGCACGAAAGCGUGGGUAUCAAACAGGAUUAGAUACCCCUGUAGUC
Molecule: ribosomal RNA, 461 nt
Filed under: uncultured Porphyromonadaceae bacterium
Lineage: Bacteria; Pseudomonadati; Bacteroidota; Bacteroidia; Bacteroidales; Porphyromonadaceae
Description: bacterial SSU rRNA
Rfam family: Bacterial small subunit ribosomal RNA
Source: RNAcentral